This 428-nucleotide ribosomal RNA is filed under the name uncultured Haliangium sp. RNAcentral's name for it is "bacterial SSU rRNA". It matches the Rfam family "Bacterial small subunit ribosomal RNA", at positions 355 to 774 of the family's 1533-position model. Lineage: Bacteria; Pseudomonadati; Myxococcota; Haliangiales; Kofleriaceae. The record is from RNAcentral.
UGGGGAAUAUUGGGCAAUGGGCGAAAGCCUGACCCAGCCACGCCGCGUGAGUGAUGAAGGCCUUCGGGUCGUAAAGCUCUGUGGGGAGGGACGAAUAAGCUUGUGGCUAACAUCCACGAGCCCUGACGGUACCUCCUUAGCAAGCACCGGCUAACCAUGUGCCAGCAGCCGCGGUAAUACAUGGGGUGCAAACGUUGCUCGGAAUUAUUGGGCGUAAAGCGCACGUAGGCGGUUUGUUAAGUCGGAUGUGAAAUCCCUCGGCUCAACUGAGGAAGUGCAUCCGAAACUGGCAAGCUUGAGUACGAAAGAGGGUCGCGGAAUUCCCGGUGUAGAGGUGAAAUUCGUAGAUAUCGGGAGGAACACCGGUGGCGAAGGCGGCGACCUGGGUCGAUACUGACGCUGAGGUGCGAAAGCGUGGGGAGCAAACA